RNAcentral lists this ribosomal RNA (364 nucleotides) under uncultured bacterium. RNAcentral describes it as "partial 16S ribosomal RNA". It matches the Rfam family "Bacterial small subunit ribosomal RNA", at positions 338 to 699 of the family's 1533-position model. The record is from RNAcentral.
CCUACGUGCGGCAGCAGUGAGGAAUAUUGGUCAAUGGGCGCAAGCCUGAACCAGCCAAGUCGCGUGAGGGAUGACGGUCCUAUGGAUUGUAAACCUCUUUUGUCGGGGAGCAAGGCCCGCCACGUGUGGCGGGAAGGAGAGUACCCGAAGAAGAAGCAUCAGCUAACUUCGUGCCAGCAGCCGCGGUAAUACGGGGGAUGCGAGCGGUAUCCGGUGUUAUUGGGGUUAAAGGGUGCGUAGGCGGAAGGUUAAGUCAGCGGUCAAAUGUCGGUGCUCAACACCGGCCUGCCGUUGAAACAGGGCUGAUUGAGUGAACGAGAGGUAUGCGGAAUGCGUGGUGUAGCGGUGAAAUGCAUAGAUAUCA